GACGAACGCUGGCGGCGUGCUUAACACAUGCAAGUCGAACGGUAAGGCCCUUCGGGGUACACGAGUGGCGAACGGGUGAGUAACACGUGGGUGAUCUGCCCUGCACUUCGGGAUAAGCCUGGGAAACUGGGUCUAAUACCGGAUAGGACCCUGGGAUGCAUGUCCUGGGGUGGAAAGCUUUUGCGGUGUGGGAUGGGCCCGCGGCCUAUCAGCUUGUUGGUGGGGUGAUGGACUACCAAGGCGACGACGGGUAGCCGGCCUGAGAGGGUGACCGGCCACACUGGGACGGAGAUACGGCCCAGACUCCUACGGGAGGCAGCAGUGGGGAAUAUUGCACAAUGGGCGCAAGCCUGAUGCAGCGACGCCGCGUGAGGGAUGACGGCCUUCGGGUUGUAAACCUCUUUCAGCACCGACGAAGCGCAAGUGACGGUAGGUGCAGAAGAAGGACCGGCCAACUACGUGCCAGCCGCCGCUGUAA
This 478-nucleotide ribosomal RNA is filed under the name uncultured bacterium. RNAcentral's name for it is "partial 16S ribosomal RNA". It matches the Rfam family "Bacterial small subunit ribosomal RNA", at positions 28 to 523 of the family's 1533-position model. The record is from RNAcentral.